Molecule: non-coding RNA, 146 nt
Organism: Hydra vulgaris (swiftwater hydra)
Lineage: Eukaryota; Metazoa; Cnidaria; Hydrozoa; Anthoathecata; Hydridae
Source: RefSeq, a predicted model, not a curated record
GCUGACCAAUGGGAGCGGUCCUCUCUGAUCACAUGACUAGUUGGCAUAAGCUGUUUUAACACGUGGUUCAGUACUGAAAGUAAGGUUAUGUAAGUAUUGGAAACACUGGAGCUCGUAAAAGACAGGCAACUGGCAAAAGAAGAAAA